UACGUAGGGGGCAAGCGUUGUCCGGAUUUAUUGGGCGUAAAGGGCGCGUAGGCGGCCUUCUAAGUCGAACGUGAAAUCCCCGGGCUCAACCCGGGAACUGCGUCCGAUACUAGAAGGCUUGAAUCCGGGAGAGGAGAGUGGAAUUCCCAGUGUAGAGGUGAAAUUCGUAGAUAUUGGGAAGAACACCGGUGGCGAAGGCGGCUCUCUGGACCGAGACUGACGCUGAGGCGCGAAAGCGUGGGGAGCAAACAGG
RNAcentral lists this ribosomal RNA (253 nucleotides) under uncultured bacterium. Its description in RNAcentral is "partial 16S ribosomal RNA". It matches the Rfam family "Bacterial small subunit ribosomal RNA", at positions 524 to 776 of the family's 1533-position model. The record is from RNAcentral.